Molecule: long non-coding RNA, 1191 nt
Organism: Actinia tenebrosa (Australian red waratah sea anemone)
Lineage: Eukaryota; Metazoa; Cnidaria; Anthozoa; Actiniaria; Actiniidae
Source: RefSeq, a predicted model, not a curated record
UAGUAGCUCGUUUUCGCUCUUUAGUUCUCUUUCUAGCUCAUCGUAGAUCAUUGAAUAUCAUUUGGUAGCUCAUUGCGCCUUUUAGUAAAUACGGUACAAAAUGGCGAUGGAAAACCAUGCAAGACUCGAUGAAACUAUUUUUAUAUUGUAGCUCGUUUUCGCUCCUUAGUUCUCUUACUAGCUCAUUGAAGAUCAUUUAGCUCAUUGUAGUACGGAACAAAAGCCGCAGUUAAAUAUUUGGAGAUUGUCUUGCGGGAGAUGAUAUGUUCUUGAAAAGCAAAGAUUUAAAAACGGAUCGAUACGUAACAUAUGCAGGAUUGAGUACUUUGUUAUUCAACGUGAUGUGCACGUGCAAUCAAUAAAAUAGAGGUGAGUAAUACACAAUCGAAUGUAAAUCCAAAAGUAUAGAAUAAUAGUAACCUCUUGUAAUCGUUUCUCAAGCUGUUUACAUCCCAUUGCCUACAGUUCCUUUUAUUUGUGAAAAUCUGGGUUUAAAAGUCCGAGGUUUCUUUCAGUUAGCGAGAAUGGGAGAUUUAUCUGCCGUGAACUUUGUCGUUGUUGUGACUUAUCCGGAUCCAUGUUUCUCGACAACAAUUCAAGUUCUACAUUAUAUAGACAUAACACUGCCCCUGAAGGUAAUAUACGAUGGUGAAGACUGUCAGGAACUUGUGGAUUCUCAAAUAAAAAGGCCAAAUCAAACAUCUUUUUAUUUGGUAUUAGGAUGACUUGAAGCUAGACGAUUUGCUGCUUUGCUGUUUUGAAAAAAAUGAUUGGUCUCCCUCCUUGUUCUAUGAUGGCAGCUAUUACCCGGUUGGAUCAUGUGAGAUUAUUGAAUGAAGAUAGAAUGCUUUGGAAUUUGAAAGGGCUAUAAAUGACUGUGAAAUAUUAUUGGUGUUAUAGCCAGAAUCUUAUGUACCCAUUUCUUUGAACAUUUAUUGAGAUAUUGGGAAURAGUUUACUUACUUCAUGUKCAACACUUGUAUUUAAUUUAGGAUGGGGGGUUUGAAAUUUCUGAGCACUUUGUAUGUUGGAAUUUUCAUGGCCAGUUUGAUGGUUUGUUUGAUUGAAGUGUGGUAGCUCAUUGAAGGCAUUGAAGCUUAUUCCGCUCUGACGAUUCAAAAUAUUUUGGUCAUCAACCAUUUUUUUUGUAAACUAGCUAAGAAUUUCCUCAGAGUCAGGCAUGAACCAAAC